RNAcentral lists this microRNA (21 nucleotides) under Bos taurus (domestic cattle). RNAcentral's name for it is "bta-miR-12059". Lineage: Eukaryota; Metazoa; Chordata; Mammalia; Artiodactyla; Bovidae. The record is from miRBase by way of RNAcentral.
UCUCCUCCCACCCUGCCUCCU